GGGGAUAUAGCUCAGUUGGUAGAGCGCUUGAAUGGCAUUCAAGAGGUCAUCGGUUCGAUCCCGACUAUCUCCACCA
This 76-nucleotide transfer RNA is filed under the name Candidatus Borkfalkia avistercoris. RNAcentral's name for it is "tRNA-Ala". It matches the Rfam family "tRNA". From Rfam's summary of the family: Transfer RNA (tRNA) molecules are approximately 80 nucleotides in length. Their secondary structure includes four short double-helical elements and three loops (D, anti-codon, and T loops). Lineage: Bacteria; Bacillati; Bacillota; Clostridia; Christensenellales; Christensenellaceae. The record is from RNAcentral.